GAUGAACGCUGGCGGCGUGCCUAAUACAUGCAAGUCGAGCGAACGGACGAGAAGCUUGCUUUUCUGAUGUUAGCGGCGGACGGGUGAGUAACACGUGGAUAACCUACCUAUAAGACUGGGAUAACUUCGGGAAACCGGAGCUAAUAUCGGAUAAUAUUUUGAACCGCAUGGUUCAAUAGUGAAAGACGGUCUUGCUGUCACUUAUAGAUGGAUCCGCGCUGCAUUAGCUAGUUGGUAAGGUAACGGCUUACCAAGGCAACGAUGCAUAGCCGACCUGAGAGGGUGAUCGGCCACACUGGAACUGAGACACGGUCCAGACUCCUACGGGAGGCAGCAGUAGGGAAUCUUCCGCAAUGGGCGAAAGCCUGACGGAGCAACGCCGCGUGAGUGAUGAAGGUCUUCGGAUCGUAAAACUCUGUUAUUAGGGAAGAACAUAUGUGUAAGUAACUGUGCACAUCUUGACGGUACCUAAUCAGAAAGCCACGGCUAACUACGUG
RNAcentral lists this ribosomal RNA (497 nucleotides) under uncultured bacterium. RNAcentral describes it as "partial 16S ribosomal RNA". It matches the Rfam family "Bacterial small subunit ribosomal RNA", at positions 28 to 507 of the family's 1533-position model. The record is from RNAcentral.